RNAcentral lists this unclassified non-coding RNA (237 nucleotides) under Hevea brasiliensis (rubber tree). Lineage: Eukaryota; Viridiplantae; Streptophyta; Magnoliopsida; Malpighiales; Euphorbiaceae. The record is from RNAcentral.
UGGUACCAAGCUACAGAUAAAAUCUGCGUUUUGUGUGGAGCAUGUAAAAGGUUUUAUUUACAUUGAAGCUCCAAGGCAGUAUGAUUUAAUUGAGGCAUGUAAAGGCAUAAGUGGAAUAUACUCUACCCGUGUAGCUUCUGUUCCUGAAAAUGACAUCUCACAGUUGCUUACUGUUCGAAGUAGAGUCAGUGAAGUCACCGUGGGUACGAUGGCUCGUGUAAAAAAUGGGAAAUACAA